Molecule: ribosomal RNA, 191 nt
Filed under: Oenococcus oeni
Lineage: Bacteria; Bacillati; Bacillota; Bacilli; Lactobacillales; Lactobacillaceae
Description: partial 16S ribosomal RNA
Rfam family: Bacterial small subunit ribosomal RNA
Source: RNAcentral
UUUUUAAAUUGAGAGUUUGAUCCUGGCUCAGGAUGAACGCUGGUGGCGUGCCUAAUACAUGCAAGUCGUACGCUAGCCGCUGAAUUGAUCCUUCGGGUGAAGUGAGGCAAUGACUAGAGUGGCGAACUGGUGAGUAACACGUAAGAAACCUGCCCUUUAGUGGGGGAUAACAUUUGGAAACAGAUGCUAAU